AGCAUGGACUGGAGUUAAAUUUGUGGAUUUUUAUAUUUGCAUUGCAGGCUAGAUGAAUAAGAUUGACUGGUGUCUUUAUUAUUCCCUGUGAUAUGAGACAAUAUGCUCAAUUAUAGCUAAUUUAGAAAUUGAAAUUCUUCUUUUAUUUAUAAGAAUAUGGUGACUAAAACAUAGGCCUGGAUAAAUAAAUGUGAGGUCUUCAUUAUUUUUCUUUAUCCUCUGAACUGCUGAAUUUUUAAAAAAGAUGCUUAGGCUACAUGUACUCUAAUUCCAGAUAGUGAGUUAUCUCAGUAUUUUCUUUUUAUAAAAUGAUGAGAAGAACUAAUAUUAUUAGGAUAUCCAACUGCGUUACAAUAUAGAUUCCAUCAGGAAAUUUAGUUCAUAGUGAAUGUGAUGUUUCACUAUUCUGCUGCUCCCAAGCAUCAGGUGUUCUGCUUAUUCUGUACUCUUUGCCUUUAGAGAUAAGGAAAUUGUGGUAGCUGCAGAUGAAGAGGAGUAAAGGGAUAUUCAAAAACUUGAGUAAGCCAUAUAUUUGAAGGUCUCCACGAAUGAUGAGUCCACCAUGAGAGAGAGAGGUUUCAUGUUUUGGUCGAACAUGCCGUUUGGGUGUUAGCGCUUCAGGUUUUAUGCAGUGAGGAGUUGGACACUGGAAUUUCAAUUUUGAUUCUGUGAUGACCUGAUGACCUGGUUGGACCCUAGAUCAAGUUUACUCUGAUGACAAUACAAGGGCUACCAUAGCUUGAGAUAAAUCAACUCAAAAGCUUUGAUUCCUCUACAUGUGUUCCAGCUACAUGAAAACUAAUACAUGAUAUUUAAGAUCUUCCAAUAUUAUAUUACUAAUUACUCUGUUCUUUUCAUCCGAACGCUAUUUCUUAGUCAAAGUUUAUUUUCUCUUUCAAAGCUUUGGCAUUCGGCAUCCAAAUGAUUUUUUAGUUUGAUGACUGGUCCACUGGAAGAGAUAUGGUGCAGAUUGAUGCAGUAAUUCGUGUGAUGUUUUGCGGGUUUGUAGCAACGUUUGUAGCAUGAGUAUGACCCAGGUUGUAGAAAAUGCAUUCUUCGGAAAAGUAGCAGGUGCAUAGCCAUUUAUAGCUUUACAUCGAGCCCUAUGGAAACCAAGAUAUAUUGACCCAUAUUUAGGUUUUGGUUUAUCAUAUUUCAAAAUUUCAAUACAUACCUAGAUAGUGGCUUAGAACUAGAUGCAAUAGAUAUUUGGUCAAAAGUGCAGUGUAUAUGUGAAAACUUUUACUUCUCUUCUGCUAUUUGAUAUGGACUAUGUUAUGGUUGAUCGAUCAUGUAGGUUCACGCUUUAUGGUCGCAUAAUUUGUGUUGUACAUAAUGUCUAGGCUUCAUUAUUUAGAUUCUUGCUUCGCGCUUAUGACUCUACCUUUUUUCUCAGGUCAAGAACCUACGACACUAAUUAACAGAACCAGAGUUGCAAAAUUAUCUUUGGUCACUGGCUGUUUGGAUUCCUGGCUGUGAGAGCUUCAUCCAACCUGUUUGUUUUUCCAAGUCCUAUUUAUCUAUGCCUACAGGAUAUUCGGCAUAAAUCCAAGCAGGUUGCUCUCAUAUCUAGGUCCGCCCCGGAGAUGAACGGGCGUGUUCCGCGGGCACCAACGUGGCCUGUUUUCGGCAUCCACCAUGGCACCACGUGCAUAUGCUGCAGCGGAACAAGCAGCACCCUCCAGCUUGAUGGAUCUUUUUUCCUCUCUGUGUUGUUGCUCCACGUGAAGUAAUGCUCUGCCUAGGCAGUGAGACAGGCAUGCGUGCAUGCUUAGCGGGGCAGAGCAGCGAGGGGAUCUGGUGGUCAACGGUGCCAUGGACAGAGGUUAGCGACGGCCACGACUCGCUUCCAACCUAGCAUGGAGAUGGAGCUGCGGGAAUAGCAGCAAGGGAAAUCUUGGAACAUCGAGCUCACCAACAUAGUAUUAUAUCGGGAGAGAGAAAGGAGGGGAGAGGGGAGGUAGGUGGCUAGAGAAAAUGGAGAGAGAGGAAUCUUAAGAUGCUAUGUGUGUCCAAGAACAGCACUUUCAUAUCCCAUAGUGGUGUCACACGGGUUGUAUACGGCCAUGAUUCUUAAGAUGCAAUGUGUGUCCAAGAAAAACACUUUCAUAUCUCAUAGUGGU
Lolium perenne is the source of this 2123-nucleotide long non-coding RNA. RefSeq lists it as uncharacterized. The record is from RefSeq and is a predicted model, not a curated record. Lineage: Eukaryota; Viridiplantae; Streptophyta; Magnoliopsida; Poales; Poaceae.